UUUUUUUUUUUUCUUUUUUUUUUCCUAUUAUCUGUAUGUACUUUGCAAGCACAAACCGAAGAAUAGAUCAGAUAGGCUAUGGUGGCCAUAUAUGUAUUGAGAAGAAUUGCUAUGUA
This 116-nucleotide non-coding RNA is filed under the name Heterosigma akashiwo. Lineage: Eukaryota; Raphidophyceae; Chattonellales; Chattonellaceae. The record is from RNAcentral.